CCUUACCAGACCCGCCCUCUGGGUGCUGGGAUGGCUGUAAAGGAGGAGGACCCAGCCAAGCAGCCAGACUCAUCCCAGCUCCGGGAAGGCUGAGUACACUGAAGGAUUCUGCAGGAAAUGACAAGAAGCUGAAGAACUGUUCCGUUGAGGCACACCAACUGCGACAGGCUCCUGGCUGCGCCCACAUAGAAGCCCCAGCACAGGGCAUGCAAAUGCAAACCUCUGCCUUCCAGGAAACUCAGCAAACCUUCUUCCCUGAGCUUAUUUCCUCUCUGCUCCUGGAAGCAGCACUCCUUUCCAUUGGGCAUCUGCACCUUCCUUGCCCUAACCAGAGCACC
Molecule: long non-coding RNA, 338 nt
Filed under: Equus caballus (horse)
Lineage: Eukaryota; Metazoa; Chordata; Mammalia; Perissodactyla; Equidae
Description: lncRNA (ENSECAG00000052996.1)
Source: RNAcentral